RNAcentral lists this ribosomal RNA (443 nucleotides) under uncultured bacterium. RNAcentral's name for it is "partial 16S ribosomal RNA". It matches the Rfam family "Bacterial small subunit ribosomal RNA", at positions 338 to 795 of the family's 1533-position model. The record is from RNAcentral.
CCUACGGGAGGCUGCAGUGGGGAAUAUUCGGCAAUGGGCGCAAGCCUGACCCAGCAACGCCGCGUGCAGGAAGAAGGCCUUCGGGUUGUAAACUUCUUUUCUCAGGGACGAAGCAAGUGACGGUACCUUAGUAAUAAGCUACGGCUAACUACGUGCCAGCAGCCGCGGUAAUACGUAGGUGGCAAGCGUUAUCCGGAUUUAAUGGGUGUAAAGGGCGUGUUGGCGGGACUGCAAGUCAGAUGUGAAAACCACGGGCUCAACCUGUGGCCUGCCUUUGAAACUAUAGUUCUUGAGUACUGGAGAGGCAGACGGAAUUCCAAGUGUAGCGGUGAAAUGCGUAGAUAUUAGGAGGAACACCAGUGGCGAAGGCGGUCUGCUGGACAGCAACUGACGCUGAGGCACGAAAGCGUGGGGAGCAAACAGGAUUAGAUACCCGAGUAGUC